Molecule: ribosomal RNA, 253 nt
Filed under: uncultured prokaryote
Description: partial 16S ribosomal RNA
Rfam family: Bacterial small subunit ribosomal RNA
Source: RNAcentral
UACGGAGGGUGCAAGCGUUAUCCGGAUUCACUGGGUUUAAAGGGUGCGUAGGAGGGCAGGUAAGUCAGUGGUGAAAUCUCCGAGCUUAACUUGGAAACUGCCGUUGAUACUAUCUGUCUUGAAUAUUGUGGAGGUGAGCGGAAUAUGUCAUGUAGCGGUGAAAUGCUUAGAUAUGACACAGAACACCAAUUGCGAAGGCAGCUCGCUAAACUGUAACUGACGCUGAGGCACGAAAGCGUGGGGAUCAAACAGG